Mya arenaria is the source of this 477-nucleotide long non-coding RNA. RefSeq lists it as uncharacterized. The record is from RefSeq and is a predicted model, not a curated record. The transcript is spliced from 3 exons. NCBI's taxonomy places the organism in Eukaryota, Metazoa, Mollusca, Bivalvia, Myida, Myidae.
AAGAAUCAUAUGUAAACAUGGCGGUUUCUGAAGCUCAUUUUGUGUGGAUCAACCUUUUCCCUAAUCAUUUAAAAAGAUGGCCAAUGUUGUGUCUGUGGCAAAGAUGAGAAUCCUGUUACCAAACAAGAUAGGAUGGGGAAAGUGGGAAAGCUAAAGAAAAUAAUGGUUGCGUCCCUGCUCAACCACAUGAUGACUGUUACAAAAGCAAUGCUGAAUGACCUACUAGACAGAAAACAAGGACCAAGCUGAAAAUCAUAUGAGCAUCACCAUUCACAGGCGGGAUUCAGUGACUGUGGAGAAAGUGAAAUAUAAACAUUCUCCUGGUGAUAGUAACAUAAGCCUGUGUUUAUAUUGGUAACAGGUCUUAUUUUCAAGAAUCAUGAUAGUAAUAAAUAACAUGUACCUGAACACUUAUAAUAGAUAUAUGAUACUGCACAGGAAAUGCAUAUUGCUCAAAUCAGUUACUGUGAAAAAUUU